RNAcentral lists this ribosomal RNA (440 nucleotides) under uncultured bacterium. Its description in RNAcentral is "partial 16S ribosomal RNA". It matches the Rfam family "Bacterial small subunit ribosomal RNA", at positions 338 to 795 of the family's 1533-position model. The record is from RNAcentral.
CCUACGGGAGGCAGCAGUGGGGAAUAUUGCACAAUGGGGGAAACCCUGAUGCAGCGACGCCGCGUGAAGGAAGAAGUAUUUCGGUAUGUAAACCUCUAUCAGCAGGGAAGAAAAUGACGGUACCUGACUAAGAAGCCCCGGCUAACUACGUGCCAGCAGCCGCGGUAAUACGUAGGGGGCAAGCGUUAUCCGGAUUUACUGGGUGUAAAGGGAGCGUAGGCGGUUUAGCAAGUCAGAAGUGAAAGCCCGGGGCUCAACUCCGGGACUGCUUUUGAAACUGUUGAACUAGAGUGCAGGAGAGGUAAGUGGAAUUCCUAGUGUAGCGGUGAAAUGCGUAGAUAUUAGGAGGAACACCAGUGGCGAAGGCGGCUUACUGGACUGUAAAUGACGCUGAGGCUCGAAAGCGUGGGGAGCAAACAGGAUUAGAUACCCGAGUAGUC